GGGGAACAAAGACACAGAACUAAACUACACAUAUAGACAACAGGAACACUGACUAAUUUAUCAUAUUUAGUAGGAAUGGCAAACUUGGAAGGCUUAGGAUAUAAAGAUUGGAAAGGUUUGUGAUUUGGAUUGUUUGAAGACAUGCUUGAAGACCCUGCCCACAUCACUGACUUCCUAAAGAAGGCCACAGACAAAUCCCUGAAGCACUUAAUAGAGUCUCAGUUUCCACCCCUGGGCGGAGUCACGGCAUACCUGCGUGCCUCCACACCUGCUGGCAGUUGAGCUGUCAGUACUUAAGACCAGCGCUCACCCCUACUCUCUGCCAAGUCUUCAGCUUACCUACAGUUAGUGCUGGUUGUCACGGAGUAUUCAUCAAAACAGAUUUUUUUCAUGGUGAGAUUAAUCCUGUGCUCUCAACCUGCAGUCAUCCUGCUGUCUGUCAUUUCCUCUGCUGGCCAUAUUCACCAUCAUCCCGACGCCGGUCAGUACGAGACAGCUCAGUGCAAAAAGCUCUCUUUUUCACUCACCUGCCCUCCUGUCACAGCACCCACGUAACACCCCACCUGGAAACAGCACUGCCUCACCCAGACCUCUUCCCCCUCUCGUGCCUAAAAACCUCCACCUGCCAAGUAAGACAAGAUCUGUUUAUACUUCAUUCUCAUCUGGACUCCAUCGGCCUCGCUCUUAACUCGUUUCCUCUCGUUCUAGUUCUCCGUGACACCUUGCUGCAUUACCUGUUCCGAGUGCACAUUCCCCCUUGAAUUUCCCUACUCUAGUUGUCCUAGUGUUUCAUGCUGUUCAUUGUCAUUUGAGUACUCUUUAUUUUAUUAGAGCUGUAGGUAGUCUCUCUCAGUUUUCAGUAGCUUCGUGGUUCAGAGCUCACACUCUAAAUUAAUAUCAGUUCUUCCUGUUGUAAAUAAAGAGUUUUUGAUAAAUACGCUCACCAGUGCGUCCGUGAGUGUUCUCCAUAUCGAGUCUUUUUCCCAGGUCGGCCUUGGCUGUGACAUUAAUAACGGCACCGUGUUUCCUCCUCUAUUCAGCAUGCCAAACAGACAAAGAGCACCGCACCAAAGCAGUAAGGGAAUGUUUGGUGUUUAGCCAGCAGCAGGUGGAAACACUCACUGCUGAAAACGCCUCGCUACGAGACUUGGUCAUGUGACCCAGCUCAGUGAAGAAAGUAAAAUAAUAAUGAUUUUAAAAUAAUAAAAGACACUAUGGUCGAUUUCCACACUAUCCCCUGGUGUUUUCAGGCAUCCUGGAAUCUGCGGAAGAGGACGCAGAAGUUACCAUUAAAACCUUCAUCAGGACCCACCUGAAGCUUCCACAGGACACGCUGAAGAACAUCACCUUCCACUGUGUCCUUGGCCUGGCAGCAAGAAUGAUGCCUGAAGACCGCGUCCUAUUGUGACCAAAUUCCAACAUUUCAAGCAGAAGGAACAGGCAGCUGAAAGGAACGGACUUUAGUGUAAACAACCAGUUCCCCAAAGAGAUCCCGGAGCGACAUGAGGUCCUGAUCCUCAUUCAGUGGAUCUUCAUUCAGAAGGGCUCCCGUGCUGUGGUCGCUGUGGACGAACAGAUCAGCCUCAGCACCACUCCCUGGUUGAUUGACGCCACUCCAUAUAAGAAUCCACUACAUUGUUUUUCUUCUCCUCCGCUUCCCCUGUUAUCUAACUUAUUGAUGUUAAUUCACUAAUGCAACGUGACGUCAUGACAGAUAAAUUACCAUCAGUCUCCACAGCGUUAAAGUAUUAGUUACAAUGUUCUUGUUUUCUUUCCAGUUUUCUCUUUCAUCUCUCCCUCUUGCCCCAUUGCAUAUUUCCUUCUUAUUUUUAUGUUCAUUCUUAGUCUUAUAUGUUACUAUAUAUAUAUUCAUAUUUUCAGGCUGCUUUAUUUGACAAAACGUGUAGAAGACUGUAUUAGUCAGCUGUAAGGAUGGAGCAACCAAGAACCAACCUAACGGUGCCUACCUUCUACAGCGGCAUUCCACAAACAUUCAGCCUGUCAUGGCUGUAAUUGUAGUCCAUUUUAACACAGUUAAAAAUCAUGGUUGAUUUAAAACAAAAGCAACAAAAAGUUUUACUUGGUUGUUAUCUUGUAGUUGUAUUAAUUACAGGAGUAUCUGUAAUAACCAUUUUUACAGAUGAAUAAAAGUUUGGACAUUUUGACAGACUGUUUCUGUAUGUGUUAAAUGUAGAAGUGUCUAUUCUUGCAGUGACUGCUGUUCUACAGCCACUACAUGUAGAUAGA
Molecule: long non-coding RNA, 2247 nt
Organism: Oreochromis niloticus (Nile tilapia)
Lineage: Eukaryota; Metazoa; Chordata; Actinopteri; Cichliformes; Cichlidae
Exons: 3
Source: RefSeq, a predicted model, not a curated record